AAUUUAACUGUACAAAGGUAGCAUAAUAAUUAGUUUUUUAAUUGAGGACUAGAAUGAAUGGUUUUAUGAGAUAUUUACUUUAUUAAAUUAAUUGGUAUAAUUUUAUUUUUUAGUUAAAAAGCUAAAAUAUUUAUAUAAGACGAGAAGACCCUAUAGAUUUUUAUAAUUAUAUUUUAUAUAAUAAAUUAAGAAUUUAAAAUUAAUAUUUAUAUAUUUAUUUUGUUGGGGUGAUAAUAAAAUUUAAUAAACUUUUAUAAAUAAUUUAUAAACAUUAAUUUAUGAUUUACUGAUCCAUUUUUAAUGAUUAUUAAAUUAAAUUACCUUAGGGAUAACAGCAUAAUUUAUUUGGAAAGUUCUUAUUAAUAAGUAAGUUUAUGACCUCGAUGUUGGGCUAGGAUAAAUUUUAGG
RNAcentral lists this ribosomal RNA (408 nucleotides) under Thyllis splendens. Its description in RNAcentral is "partial 16S ribosomal RNA". Lineage: Eukaryota; Metazoa; Arthropoda; Insecta; Diptera; Acroceridae. The record is from RNAcentral.